AGUGAACGCUGGCGGUAGGCCUAACACAUGCAAGUCGAACGGCAGCACAGUAAGAGCUUGCUCUUACGGGUGGCGAGUGGCGGACGGGUGAGGAAUACAUCGGAAUCUACUUUUUCGUGGGGGAUAACGUAGGGAAACUUACGCUAAUACCUCAUACGACCUACGGGUGAAAGCAGUGGCUCUUCGGACCUUGCGCGAUUGAAUGAGCCGAUGGCGGAUUAGCUCGUUGGCGGGGUAAAGGCCCACCAAGGCGACGAUCCGUAGCUGGUCUGAGAGGAUGAUCAGCCACACUGGAACUGAGACACGGUCCAGACUCCUACGGGAGGCAGCAGUGGGGAAUAUUGGACAAUGGGCGCAAGCCUGAUCCAGCCAUACCGCGUGGGUGAAGAAGGCCUUCGGGUUGUAAAGCCCUUUUGUUGGGAAAGAAAAGCAGCAGGUUAAUACCCCGCUGUUCUGACGGUACCCAAAGAAUAAGCACCGGCUAACUUCGUG
RNAcentral lists this ribosomal RNA (492 nucleotides) under uncultured bacterium. RNAcentral's name for it is "partial 16S ribosomal RNA". It matches the Rfam family "Bacterial small subunit ribosomal RNA", at positions 29 to 507 of the family's 1533-position model. The record is from RNAcentral.